Molecule: ribosomal RNA, 449 nt
Filed under: uncultured bacterium
Lineage: Bacteria
Description: partial 16S ribosomal RNA
Rfam family: Bacterial small subunit ribosomal RNA
Source: RNAcentral
AACGAACGCUGGCGGCAUGCCUAACACAUGCAAGUCGAACGAAGGCUUCGGCCUUAGUGGCGCACGGGUGCGUAACGCGUGGGAAUCUGCCCUGGGGUACGGAAUAACAGAUAGAAAUGUCUGCUAAUACCGUAUGAUGUCGCAAGACCAAAGAUUUAUCGCCCUGGGAUGAGCCCGCGUUGGAUUAGCUAGUUGGUGGGGUAAAGGCCUACCAAGGCGACGAUCCAUAGCUGGUGUGAGAGGAUGAUCAGCCACACUGGGACUGAGACACGGCCCAGACUCCUACGGGAGGCAGCAGUGGGGAAUAUUGGACAAUGGGCGAAAGCCUGAUCCAGCAAUGCCGCGUGAGUGAUGAAGGCCUUAGGGUUGUAAAGCUCUUUUACCCGGGAAGAUAAUGACUGUACCGGGAGAAUAAGCCCCGGCUAACUCCGUGCCAGCAGCCGCCGUAA